CAUCGGACCCCGAUACAAGACAGCAUGAAAUAUCAAUCGAGCUAUCCUCGGCCAUCCGCUUUUUCUUGUAAUGAGAAUUCAAACCUGUGGGACAGCUGAAGGGGACGUUAUAACGAAUUUGGUCUACAAACGAAUAAUCUCUUAUCCGGACUUGCAUGUACGACUGCUAAUGAUUCAUGGGAUUUUGGAUCGUUGUCUACUAAUGAGGUUUGUCUUGCAACCGAUGUCAUACUAACGAGGGUAGGACUGUAAAUUAAAUGCUUGAAAGUUGAAACUUCGUUUUUCAGAUGAAUCAGACUGCAAAUCAAUAGCAUAGCAAAGACCAUAGCUAUCCCAGGAACACUUGAGUAGUGCCCUCUUUUACCUUUUUCUAUGUUGUCCUCUUCAGUUUGAGCAGCAUUAGGCGAUUUGAUCGCAGGACGAGAGAGGAGCUGAUGGACGAUCUCUCCAAUGUUCCUCUUGGUUCGGAGCGGCGCCGAGUGCUGACGUUGGGACUUGGCACCGCUAGCUAAACCGACCAACGGCUACUCCCAGGGCACAAACUAUUCUGCUGGAGGCAGCGUCGUCUUCGGCUGAAAUUCCGGAUACAACCUGCAGGGAAGCAUUGUGCGCAUCUGCCAGAUUGACGGUUCCUGGAGUGGGGCAGCUGCCUCAUGUAAUCCCAUUCAACUGCAGUGCCAGUCUGGCUACCUGCCCUGCCUGCGUUCCAGUGGCUGUAUCCUGCCAUCACAGCGCUGCGACGGUGUUUGGUACGACUGUGCUGAUGGCUCUGAUGCACAGUACUGCCCAGGCAAGGUCACACCAGCUCCAGGUCAAACCGACUGCCAGGUCCUGUCACCACCGGCACUGGGCUCAAUGACCGUGAACGGCUUGAUGUUCAGCAACACGACCACGUUUGUGUGCACAUCUCCCUAUGUCCUUAUGGGCUCGGCCGUGCGUACUUGUGAAAUCAACGGCCAGUGGAGCGGUGUGCAGCCAACUUGCGUCCUGACGACUGCUGCUCUGAGUGCGGCCAGUGACGAGCUAGUCAAGGACUCCGUCUCAGAACGCAUGACACAAACGUCUCCCGCUCCAUGCCCAUUGUUGGAGCGACAGUCCUGGAAUCCAGAGUUGCAAGUGAGGUGGUGAUACGGCAAGCAGACGGUGGCAAAGUACGGCUUAAAAGCUCUACAUCUGGCAAGUGGCCGGCAUACCACCCCAAUGGACAUUGGAACAGUACACGUAGAGUAGCAUCUCUACGUGACAGGGUAUGAGCGCAAGCCAGUAUUGCCAAGCACUGGGGACCUUUGGCAAUCUGAAGAAUGUUUUGUCCGAGAAUCGAUCCUUGGAUCUGUGGCGUUGCAGUUGUGGUGCUCCCGACCCUCUUGCGCGAUGGCCGCGGAGACUUGGCGAAAAGGUUCGAGACAUACGGCAUCUCAAUAUCUUCCACCACAAUCAGUACAUCAGCACCACCAUCGAGUGUAGCGACAUCAGCAAUAGAAGACGCACAUGAUAUCAUUCACCCUUACGGCCUUAGCGAAGACCCGGGAAUACCUCAGAAGAUGUUAGCCGCAACUUUACUGGAAAAGUCGUCGGUGACAACGGCACUCCAUAUUUUAGCUGCAUGCAGUUAGGUCUCUCAACAAGUGUACCCAAAGUUUUCAAGCUAAUACACAAGCAAAUUCACUAGGGGCCGAGUAUAUUUUCCUACACCUCUCCCUGUUUGUUGUUGUUAUUUCUGCAUUCAAAUUGUUUGUGUACCUGUACAUUUAUUACAGUAGAGCCACGUAUCCACGGCUGUUGUUUCCAAGGUCAGGCUCGUCAGUUAUACAAAACCUUUCAGCAAUCUGGCCUUAGGCUUAGUUCCUUGACUUCUUGUACCACCUUCUUAGAUGCACAUCCCACUGGAUAGUGAGCAAUACGUGUGUAGCAGAAUCUGUAUUCCAGAAAAGCAGAGACUUGAGUCUAUUGACACUGCGUUUCGUUUUAAAACGUUAUUGGCUGUGGUGUUCCUAGAGGUAUACUAUACACGUACAUUCCUGGGUCCCACGUUCUGUGACGCCCGACUGUAUUCGUGGUGCUUCAACAACUUUUAAUUUUGUGCACUCGGGAAAACCUGCCUGAGGCUGUGAGGCUGCAGAGUGUUGGCUGUGUUUUGCUUUAAAAAACCAUCAGGUCUCCCCAGA
Molecule: RNA transcript, 2165 nt
Organism: Sycon ciliatum
Lineage: Eukaryota; Metazoa; Porifera; Calcarea; Leucosolenida; Sycettidae
Gene name: sushi, von Willebrand factor type A, EGF and pentraxin domain-containing protein 1-like
Exons: 8
Source: RefSeq, a predicted model, not a curated record